GAUGAACGCUGGCGGCGUGCCUAAUACAUGCAAGUCGAGCGAACAGACGAGGAGCUUGCUCCUCUGACGUUAGCGGCGGACGGGUGAGUAACACGUGGAUAACCUACCUAUAAGACUGGGAUAACUUCGUGAAACCGGAUCUAAUACCGGAUAAUAUAUUGAACCGCAUGGUUCAAUAGUUAAAGACGGUUUUGCUGUCACUUAUAGAUGGAUCCGCGCCGCAUUAGCUAGUUGGUAAGGGAACGGCUCACCAAGGCAACGAUGCGUAGCCGACCUGAGAGGAUGAUCAGGCACACUGGAACUUAGACACGGUCCAGACUCCUACGGGAGGGAGCAGUGGGGAAUAUUGGACAAUGGGCGCAAGCCUGAUCCAGCCAUACCGCGUGGGUGAAGAAGGCCUUCGGGUUGUAAAGCCCUUUUGUUGGGAAAGAAAAGCAGCAGGUUAAUACCCCGCUGUUCUGACGGUACCCAAAGAAUAAGCACCGGCUAACUUCGUG
Molecule: ribosomal RNA, 497 nt
Filed under: uncultured bacterium
Lineage: Bacteria
Description: partial 16S ribosomal RNA
Rfam family: Bacterial small subunit ribosomal RNA
Source: RNAcentral